UCCGCCCGCUGGCGGCGUGCCUAAUACAUGCAAGUUGAGCGCUGAAGGUUGGUACUUGUACCAACUGGAUGAGCAGCGAACGGGUGAGUAACGCGUGGGGAAUCUGCCUUUGAGCGGGGGACAACAUUUGGAAACGAAUGCUAAUACCGCAUAAAAACUUUAAACACAAGUUUUAAGUUUGAAAGAUGCAAUUGCAUCACUCAAAGAUGAUCCCGCGUUGUAUUAGCUAGUUGGUGAGGUAAAGGCUCACCAAGGCGAUGAUACAUAGCCGACCUGAGAGGGUGAUCGGCCACAUUGGGACUGAGACACGGCCCAAACUCCUACGGGAGGCAGCAGUAGGGAAUCUUCGGCAAUGGACGAAAGUCUGACCGAGCAACGCCGCGUGAGUGAAGAAGGGUUUCGGAUCGUAAAACUCUGUUGGUAGAGAAGAACGUUGGUGAGAGUGGAAAGCUCAUCAAGUGACGGUAACUACCCAGAAAGGGACGGCUAACUACGUG
This 497-nucleotide ribosomal RNA is filed under the name uncultured bacterium. RNAcentral's name for it is "partial 16S ribosomal RNA". It matches the Rfam family "Bacterial small subunit ribosomal RNA", at positions 34 to 507 of the family's 1533-position model. The record is from RNAcentral.